GACAGAGGGUGCAACCGUUGUUCGGAAUUACUGGGCGUAAAGCGCGUGUAGGCGGCUAUGUAAGUCGGGCGUGAAAUCCCACGGCUCAACCGUGGAAGUGCACCCGAAACUGCGUAGCUAGAGUCCUGGAGAGGAAGGUGGAAUGCUUGGUGUAGAGGUGAAAUUCGUAGAUAUCAAGCGGAACACCGGUGGCGAAGGCGGGUCUCUGGGCAGUAACUGACGCUGAGGAGCGAAAGCGUGGGGAGCGAACAGG
Molecule: ribosomal RNA, 253 nt
Filed under: uncultured bacterium
Lineage: Bacteria
Description: partial 16S ribosomal RNA
Rfam family: Bacterial small subunit ribosomal RNA
Source: RNAcentral